Molecule: unclassified non-coding RNA, 309 nt
Filed under: plant metagenome
Description: partial contains 5.8S ribosomal RNA, internal transcribed spacer 2, and large subunit ribosomal RNA
Rfam family: 5.8S ribosomal RNA (bases 1-105)
Source: RNAcentral
GAAAUGCGAUAAGUAGUGUGAAUUGCAGAAUUCAGUGAAUCAUCGAAUCUUUGAACGCACAUUGCGCCCCUGGGUAUUCCAUGGGGCAUGCCUGUUCGAGCGUCAUUUGUACCCUCAAGCUCUGCUUGGUGUUGGGUGUUUGUCCCGUCUCCGCGCGUGGACUCGCCCCAAAGUGAUUGGCAGCCGGCGUACUGGUCCCGGAGCGCAGCACAUGUCGCGCAAACGAGUGCCUUGGUACGGCGGCGUCCAUAAGCCCCUCUCUCACGCUCUUGACCUCGGAUCAGGUAGGGAUACCCGCUGAACUUAAGC